ACCGAGUGCUGGAACAGUUGUUUUUCGUUCCAAGACCCUCGAUACAGACAUCCGUGAAUGUGUCUCUAUGAAAUGGUGUCCCGUCUGGUAUACACUAAGUCAUCUCUAGGGCUUCCAGUGUCCAUGACUGGAAUACAAGUUCUGCUCUCAGAGAUGCUGGAGGUUGAGAAGGGCAGGAGGAGCCUGUAGUGUGGGGAGGUGACUUUUCAGGCUGCACAAUCGAGUUAAACAGCUCAGCUUACCAAAUGAUACUGUUACAUCUGGAUAUCUGGAGGAAAUUAUUCAAUUAUGUACUCUUCGUAGCAACACCGCUGAAAAAGAAUAAAUAUGGGCGUUUGAAUCUGUGACUGACAGGGUCCACGUGGAAGCUGUUUCGAGCCAUGGUCCCUGCGCUUCCCAGAUGUGGGAGUGGCUGCCUUCGAGCUCUCCAUCUGCCUUUACUCUAAAGACUGUUUAUCUAAUUGUCUGGUAAUUUCCUUAGCUUUUCUGAUUUCCU
Molecule: long non-coding RNA, 496 nt
Organism: Peromyscus eremicus (cactus mouse)
Lineage: Eukaryota; Metazoa; Chordata; Mammalia; Rodentia; Cricetidae
Exons: 3
Source: RefSeq, a predicted model, not a curated record